This 374-nucleotide unclassified non-coding RNA is filed under the name Pseudognaphalium oxyphyllum. RNAcentral describes it as "partial external transcribed spacer". Lineage: Eukaryota; Viridiplantae; Streptophyta; Magnoliopsida; Asterales; Asteraceae. The record is from RNAcentral.
UGUAAAGGUGCAUGAGUGGUGUUUGGUUUGUUACGGGUGGUUGGCUAUUUGCUUGCGCAACAACUUCUACCUGGCAUACCUCUUCAGUCUUGUGUCAAUGCUUUUAUUGCAUUGAAUGCAUGAUGGGUUUCUUGUGUUGCAUGCCUAAUUAAUGGUAUCACUUUGAUGAAUUGGUUUUCCUUUCGUCUGGCAUUGCCUAUGCGAUGUGAGAUGAACCUUGAAGCAGCCUUUGUGAUCCACUCUUUUGAUGCAUACGCAUUGAUUUUGUGGCUCAUUGAGUGUUGCUCGGUCUCAUGGAUACAGAACCUGGUGUGGGCAUGGAAUCUUAAUGGUUCCUUGUUUGCCCUAGUUUAGCUUUUCUAAAACGAUUGUCU